AUCCUAUUAAAAAAAACCUCCAACUAAAUGCUUUAAUUCUGAACGGUGAUUGAACUUUCCAAAUCUUGACAAAUGCUUCUAAUUUAUCUUCCUCAUGGUCUUCACCUUCCUCCUCUACUGAAAACAAUUCAAAAAAAUAUUUCACUGUAUACCCUUAUGACGGUUUAAGCUCCCACAUUAUUCUAUCAUCUGAUUCUGACAUAAGAACCACCA
Molecule: long non-coding RNA, 213 nt
Filed under: Lathyrus oleraceus (garden pea)
Lineage: Eukaryota; Viridiplantae; Streptophyta; Magnoliopsida; Fabales; Fabaceae
Description: Pisum sativum (pea) long non-coding RNA (PSAT_LNC036436)
Source: RNAcentral